UACAGAGGGGGCGAGCGUUGUUCGGAAUCACUGGGCGUAAAGGGCGCGUAGGCGGCCCUCUUAGUCGCGUGUGAAAGCCCCGGGCUCAACCUGGGAACGGCGCGCGAAACGGGAGGGCUGGAGUUCGGGAGAGGAGAGUGGAAUUCCCAGUGUAGAGGUGAAAUUCGUAGAUAUUGGGAAGAACACCAGUGGCGAAGGCGGCUAACUGGUCCAGAUCUGACGCUGAGGUGCGAAAGCGUGGGGAGCAAACAGG
RNAcentral lists this ribosomal RNA (253 nucleotides) under uncultured bacterium. RNAcentral's name for it is "partial 16S ribosomal RNA". It matches the Rfam family "Bacterial small subunit ribosomal RNA", at positions 524 to 776 of the family's 1533-position model. The record is from RNAcentral.